AUACAACCUUCCCCUAAGUUAACAUUGGUUCCUCUUUUGUGUUCGCGUUUUACUUUCCCCCUUUUGGAUCGUACGUUUUAGCCAUAUUUUCCUAUUUAUUUAUUUUUUCUUUACAGUGAGCACGUUUAUAUUUUGAUACGUGAACCUUAGUUCAGAUGUCGGAAAAAUUACUAAAAUGAACGGAAGAUACCGCGAGCAAGCAAAGCCACCGAUAAUGCUGGAUUGGAGUUAGCAUAUAAAGUGAGGCUCACAAUGUUAUUAUUUUUCUUAUAUUAAUGUUACUAGUGGUCCCUAAGCUUAAUAUUCUGUUUUGCAGGUGCAAAACAAAAACACGUGACAGUGGAGAUGAUGGAACAGCACAGAUGUGCAACAUGUGGGCAGACUUUCUCAGAUGGUGGCCUGUCUGCGUCUCACAGCUGCUCAGACCGCCUACAUCAGACCCCCACUUGUCGGCCAAGAAGGGGGAAAAGUUCCAGCCAAGUCUGCACAUCAUCAGAACCGAAAAAUGGCAAAGAAGAAGCACAGCAACAAGUGAACAAUGUGGAAAAAGCGAGAAAGACGACGAAAAAAGACACAUGUUCAGCCAUGAAUGCCACACUAUUGCCAACCAAAGAAUACCUUGCAGAGGGGGCCGAGCACAUUUACCGUACCCACACUUGCCCCAAAUGUCGGCGCUGUUUCAAGAUGCGUUCCCAUCUGCAGGAGCAUCUCCAUCUCCAUUCCCCCGACCCCAGUCUGCAGUGUCCCACCUGCAAGCGGUUCUUCACGAGCAGGAGCAAACUGCGCGUACACCGACUCCGUGAGGAGGGCGAAAAAGUGCACCGUUGCCACCUGUGUGAAUAUUCCGCCGUGGAACGCAACGCGGUCCGCCGCCACCUCACCACAAAGCAUGGGGACCAGGCAGAAGACGGGAAGAUACGCCACAGCUACCCGUGUCCUGCAUGUGGUCAAAGCUUUAACCAGAGCAGGUUGCUGAAGGCUCACAUGAAGACGCACAACGUCAAACCCGACUGCGACGCGGCCAUGUCUUGCUUCCAAGAGGGUUGUUCCUUCCAGACGCCUCUGCGCAAGGCUCUCGUCCAACAUGCCGCGGAGGCGCAUGAGACGGAGGCGGUGGAAUGUCGACAUCACGCCUGCGCCGCCAUCUUUCCAGGUGACAAGGAAAUGGAGGCUCAUUACAGGACCCACCUGGCCUACCACUGCUCUCAGUGCGAGUUCUCGUCCUCCAACAAGAGCGCCUUCCUCCAGCAUCAGCGCCACGGCCAUCCAGGGAGUGAGAAACUCUGUUGUGACUUUUGCGCCUUUUUCACGUUCAACCCUGUGGAAUUUGAGCAGCACGUCGGACACUUACAUGCCAACGAGAAGAUCCAUCACUGCCCUCAGUGCAGCUAUGUGACCUCACACAAGAGAGGCUUGAGGCGACACAUGCUUAUGCACAGCGGUGAGAAGCCCUUCAAGUGCAGCCUCUGUGACUUCCGAUGCCGAGAUGUCUCCUACCUCUCAAAACAUUUGCUCACACACUCGGACGACAAGAACUUCAUGUGUGCCGAGUGUGGAUACGUCACCAAAUGGAAACACUACUUAAACGUCCAUAUGAGGAAACAUGCAGGAGAGCUCAGGUAUGAGUGUGACAGGUGCCCAUAUCGCUGUCACCGCAUGGACCAGCUCAACAGCCACAAACUACGACAUCAAGCCAAAUCACUGAUGUGUGAGAUCUGCGCGUACGCCUGCAAGCGCAAAUAUGAGCUCCGGAAUCACAUGCGGGCAAAACAUCCUGCAAUGGGCCAACAAGCAUCUGUAUAUAAGUGCAAAUACUGCACAUACACCACAUGUUUUCGACAAGCCCUGCAAAAUCACGAGAAUUGCAAACACACCAGGCUGAAACAGUACUGCUGCGCUCUCUGUCCUUAUUCCUCCUUCAGUAGCAUCAGCCUCUUCUUGCACAAGAGGAAAGCCCAUGGAUACGUACCCGGGGACCAAACCUGGCUGAAGAAUUAUGCAGCAAAAGAAAGGGAAAGGAAUUCAUCGAGCAUGUCACAGGAUUUCCACAAUGAGUCACUAACAGGCAAUGAGAGAUCUGAGCAGCGUACUGAAGAAGCUCCAGCAGAUUACGUUGCCAGUGAAGGUCCUGAAGCGAAUACACAAGGUGUCGAAUCACUGGAUGUUGAUGAAGUUGGCCGUAAAGAGGUUACCCAUGAAGGGAUAUCGGAUAGCCUGCCACCUAGCACCAGCCCUGAGUACUGCACUCUUGUUUUGACAGCAUUAACGGCUGACUAUGAAACUGAUUUUUUGCAAAAGGAGUACGCAGCCGCUCACAUGACACCCCCUUUACACUGCAGUAAAUCAGCCCUAGAAAAAGAAGAAAUCCUUUUAUCUACACACAUUUCAGAGGCAGAAACGCUUCCCGGGGUUAAUGAAGAAGGCCAACAAAGUCUAGCCGCUGACGAUUAUGAGUCAGAGCAGGAAACUGUAGAAUUGGAUAAUGAUUGCGGCAGUUCAGAAUCUUCCCAUGUGAAGCACCCUCUGUUAGAGUCUUGUUUGAAACCCACGAGGACACAAGAUAAGGAACAAUCAGAAGCUAUGGUUUUGGAGGGAAGAGUCCAGAUGCUUGUGGUGCCGACUAAAGAUGGUUGUGACAAAUCGUCUUAUGUUACAAAAAAGAAGAAGACUCUGAAGCAGCACUCUCCGUUUGCUUGUUGUGAUAGAACACAACAUCACGAGUGCCAGGCAUGUGGUGCCCAGUUCAAACAGAGGCGGGGCCUUAAUAGCCACAUUGCCAGGAAAUGUGCUGCAAUUCCUAAAAAAAACACAACUUUCAUUGGCAAAGCGGUCGCACAAACAGAAGACCGCCGUGCUGUGGGUCCAGACAUGUCCAAAAAGCGGGGAGCGACACAGUCACGUGACAAAAUCCUCACAAACCAAAACAGGAUUUCCUCAGAAGUAAAUGAGGAGUGCCUUCUUCGACAAAAACAGGAUGGAUCUUCAUGUAAUUUAACGGAUUCUCAAAGCGCCUCUACGUUCACUGAGUCGAAUCCUCAGCGGAGCAACAAACUGACAAAAAAGCCUUCAAAGACUCAACAAGAAGACAUUCCAGUCCAGAGUGGAAAAUUCACGUGCAGCCUCUGCAGUUUUUCAUCAGUCAGGCUUGCAACAGUGAACAGACACAUUUCCAUUUGCCAAAAGCGGUCACGAAAAAAAGAAAAUGUGACCAUCCCAGUUGAGAAAGACCUUAAAAGUGAGGCCCCACGCGUCGCACCUCACACAUGCCAAUACUGUCCUUUCGCCACCACCAGGCGCUAUCGCCUGGAAGAACACGAGUCUCUUCACACCGGAAUCGGGCGCCACGCCUGCGAUGUUUGCGACAAAACCUUCGGAGCGUUGACCAAACUGCGUCAACACAAGUUGCGCAUCCACGACAAACGACCCUCUCAGACGUGCCCGCUCUGUGACUACAGCGGCUACACACUUGACGACGUGAGAAGACACACCCUCAGAUGCCACACAGGGGAAAUGCGUCACACCUGCACUCACUGUGAAGCUCGCUUCAGUUCCGAAGUUGCUCUGAGAAACCACGGCAAACGUGUUCACCAGCCCCUCGUGCUUUUCUCAUGCGACCAGUGUGAGUACACUUGUAGCAACGAGACCACACUCAGGACCCACCAACAGGGCAAACACCCACAAAUGAGCGGCACCACCUGCAAGGAGAAGAGCAUCAAGGUCCCGCGCAAAGUCCACCUCAAACAUCAGUGCCAGCUCUGCCCUUUUGCGGGUAAAACGAGGCAGAUCCUCGCCCGACACCUUCUGGACGAGCACGAGGAGGGGUCUCUGCUGGAUAAGCCUCUCAGGUGCAGCAACUGUCCGUUCGCUUGUCAGCAUCCGCUGGUGUUGGAGCAGCAUCUCCGCUCCCACGGAGGCAAGCGUGUGUACAAAUGCAGCGACUGCAAGUAUUCAACUGGCAACAAGCAGAAGAUGACGUGGCACGUUCGCAUCCACACCGGGGAGAAGCCUUACAAGUGUGAGCUUUGUAGUUACGCCUGCAUUGAUCCAUCAAGGUUGAAGCUGCAUAUGAGGGUUCAUCAAGAAGAGAAGAAGUACCUUUGUCCGGAGUGUGGAUACAAAUGCAAGUGGGCCACUCAACUAAAAUACCACAUGACCAAGCAUACAGGUGAGAAACCACAUGCCUGCGAUCAAUGCAAUUACCGCACCAACCGAGCAGACGCCCUCCGUACACACCGGGACACGCAGCACUGCGACGUGCGCUCCUACGUCUGCGAGAAAUGCGGCAAAGCCUUCAAGACGAGUUUCAUCCUAAAGACUCACCAGCGGCAGCACAGCGACCAACGUCCGUACACCUGCGGCUGGUGCCACAAGUCCUUCCGCUGGCCCGCCGGCCUCAGGCACCACUUCCUCUCGCACACCAAACAGCAGCCGUUUCACUGUGGCCAUUGUUCCUACAGAGCCAAGCAAAAGUUCCAAGUCAUCAAGCAUUUACGGCGCCACCACCCGGACGUGCCGGUGGAGCAGGGCGUGGUACGAGACUCCCAGGCUGGCAGCCUCACCCUGAAGGAGGCUUUGCGAGGAACACUGAAUGACAGUGUAGUCAUGGAAACGGAGGCGGAAGAGAGAGAUGACAGAAACAUAGCACAAAGGGAGAAGACGAAACGAUGAGGAGUGGUUGCUAAACUGAAGACCAUCGCAGUAUCUUAACCACCUAUGAUGAAUAUCCUCUUUUCUCACUUACAAAUGUUUUCACAGUGUUGGAAACACAAAAUAAGUGCAAGAUGUAAACGCAGCAUCCGUCCAUCCAUUUCUUCCGCUUAUCCGAGGUCGGGUCGCGGGGGCAGCUCCCUAAGCAGAGAAGCCCAGACUUCCCUCUCUCCAGCCACUUUGUCCAGCUCUUCGCAAGUGGUCCCGAGGCGUUCCCAGGCCAGCCGGGAGACAGUCUUCCCAACGUGUCCCGAGUCUUCCCCUUGGCCUCCGGAGGGAGGUGUUCAGGUGGCAUCCUGAACAAAUGCCCGAACCACCUCAUCUGGCUCCUCUCCAUGUGAAGGAGCAGCGGCUUUACUCUGAGCUCCUCCCGGGUGACAGAGCUUCUCACCCUAUCUCUAAGGGAGAGCCCCGCUACCCGGCGGAGGAAACUCAUUUUGGCCGCUUGUACCCGUGAUCUUGUCCUUUCGGUCAUAACCCAAAGCUCAUGACCCUAAAUGAGGAUGGGAACGUAGAUCGACUGGUAAAUUUAGAGCUUUGCCUUCCGGCUCAGCUCCUUCUUCACCACAACGGAUCGAUACAACGUCCGCAUUACUGAAAACGCCGCACUGAUCUGUUAAUCACAAGAUCCACUCUUCCCCCACUUGUGAGCAAGACUCUUAGGUACUUGAACUCCUCCACUUGGGGCAGGGUCUCCUCCCCAAUUUGGAGAUGGCACUCCACCCUUACCCGGGCGAGAACCACGGACUCGGACUUGGAGGUGCUGAUUCUCAUCCCAGUCGCUUCACACUCGGCUGCGAACCGAUCCAGUCAGAGCUGAAGAUCCAGGCCAGUUGAAGCCGACAGGACCACAUCAUCUGCAAAAAGCAGAGACCUAAUCCUGCGGUCACCAAACCGGAUCCCAUCAACGUCCUGACGGCGCCUAGAAAUUCUGUCCAUAAAAGUUAUGAACAGAAUCGGUGACAAAGGGCAGCCUUGGCGUAGUCCAACCCUCACUGGAAACGGGUUCGACUUACUGCCGGCAAUGCGGACCAAGCUCUGACACUGAUCGUACAGGGAGCGGACCGCCACAAUCAGACAGUCCGAUACCCCAUACUCUCUGAGCAUUCUCCACAAGACUUCCCGGGGGACAUGGUUGAAUGCCUUCUCCAAGUCCACAUCUAUGAAUCCAGCUGUAGACGCUAUAUAUUGCGGUUUAAAUCAAGAAUCAAUUCUAGAUCAAAUUUUCACCCGAAAAAUCGUAAUCAAAUUGUGAGUCGUUGUAAGAUUCCUAUUCCUUGUGGACACUGUACCUCUAGCCCAUUCACACAACAUUUUCCAGCAGGAAGAUGCUUUGACAAGACUUGUUGUUGUAGGACUGCACAUUUUGUGAGGAAAAUACUUUACACUGUUAUUGUUUUUAAAAAUGUGCUUAAUUAUUUUGUGAGGCAUACUAUAGCACGGGGGUCGGGAACCUUUUUGGUUGAGAGAGCCAUGAAAGCCAAAUAUUUUAAAAUGUAUAUCUGUAAGAGCCGUAUAAUAUUUUUAAAACCGAAUACAACUAUCAGGUUCAAACACUGAUGACAUCUAUUAAACAGACAAGAAGCAAGGAAUUAAACAGAGACAGGAUUCAAUUUAGCUCAAUGAGGAGAAACCCGUAGACCUGUACCCUUGUACAGUGUCGUCCCAGGCUCUGACAAGAGAAUUCUACGCCUCCUCUUUUAUUUGGACUUUCCCUGAUUACAACAACUAAAUGCGUGCAUCUCUUAUUCUUUUUAAUAACAUUGUUAUUCUGAAGCUAACUAAUCUUGAACAGGUGCGAUAGAAAUAGAUGAAUGGAUUAAAAUGCAUGAGAAUGUUUUAUAUUUUGAAAGUUAUUUUUAACACUGUGAUUAAUAGCGGAAUUAUUAAUUACUUAUCGUGUUAAGCAACGUCAACUAAGAUUUAUCUGAGAGGUUCCCUACCCCUGCUAUAGCAGUUAAAGUGGCUGUUUAAGGGAUUGGUGUGGAUGAGUUCUUGAAAUUUAAUCCUGGUGAAUAGCGGGUAUCUACAGUAUCUAAAACGGUUGUUUUUGUUCUGUUUUGUUGAUUUUUUUUUUUUUUUUAGAUGUAUCAUGAUUUUAAUUUGUAACAAUUCUUAAUCGAUUAAAAAAAAAAUCAAAAUUAGAUGUAUUAAUUUUUUAAGAAUUUAUUUUUAAAAGGUCGUUUUAGACCAUCUCUAUUCGGGGUGUCAAAAAAUAGAUAUUUUUUAAUUAUUUUAUUAUUAUUUUUUUAGAAUAAUUGUGAUUCUUAUUUGUAACAAUUCUUAAUCGAUCUUUUAAAAAAAAAUCAAAAAUAGAUUUAUUUAGUUUUUAGGAAUUUAUUUUCAAAAGGUCAUUUUAGACCAUCUCCAUUAGGGGUGUCAAAAAAUA
Nerophis ophidion (straightnose pipefish) is the source of this 7096-nucleotide RNA transcript. It is a transcript of the gene named zinc finger protein 142, with no coding region annotated. The record is from RefSeq and is a predicted model, not a curated record. NCBI's taxonomy places the organism in Eukaryota, Metazoa, Chordata, Actinopteri, Syngnathiformes, Syngnathidae. The transcript has 8 exons.